AAGAAGUGUGACUAGAGGCUGAACCUAGGUCUUCUCCCGAAAUCUAUCCUGUUAAUUGAUGUUAAUCUGGGAGAGUCUGCUCUGAAAAGCAGAAGCAUAUUGACUUGGAUGGAAUUGAGCACUUCGCCAAAAUCUACAGUCAAAAAAUUGGCAUCAAAAAGGAGGUUCUUAUGAAAACCUUGUGGGGAGAUUACUAUAUAAAUAUGAAGGCUAAAAAGAUCAUGAAGGGUGAUCAGGCCAAAGGAAAGAAAUCUUUAUUUGUACAGUUGAUCCUGGAAAAUAUAUGGAGUUUGUAUGAUGCUGUUUUGAAAAAGGACAAAGACAAAAUUGAUAAAAUAGUGACUUCUUUAGGAUUAAAAAUUGGAGCCCGGGAGGCACGACAUUCAGACCCUAAAGUUCAGAUCAAUGCCAUUUGCAGUCAGUGGCUACCCAUAUCCCAUGCUGUUCUUGCUAUGGUGUGUCAGAAACUUCCUAGUCCCCUUGAUAUUACAGCUGAGAGAGUGGAGAGACUGAUGUGCACAGCAUCACAAACUUUUGACUCUCUUCCACCAGAAACU
Molecule: small RNA, 557 nt
Filed under: Pan troglodytes (chimpanzee)
Lineage: Eukaryota; Metazoa; Chordata; Mammalia; Primates; Hominidae
Description: processed transcript
Source: RNAcentral